RNAcentral lists this long non-coding RNA (578 nucleotides) under Linum usitatissimum (flax). RNAcentral describes it as "long non-coding RNA (LUSI_LNC007662)". The record is from RNAcentral. Lineage: Eukaryota; Viridiplantae; Streptophyta; Magnoliopsida; Malpighiales; Linaceae.
UCUCUUUAGGGUUCCCAAAUUCCAUUCUUCUCUGUCUUCUUCUUCAAUCAUGAGUCUUCCUCCGACCGUCAAUGCAGAACCGGUGGAGACAAUUGUCAGCGACAACAUCCCAGCUGCUAGUUUAAUGCCCUGGAGGCGAGGCCGGCUUGUCUUCCGGCAUAGACUGCGAGCCCGUAUAGAUCAAAGCCUUAGGGAGACGUUACCGUAUAGGAGUCUUACUCUUGGUCAGAUACGGGGACAACUCAACCGGAUGAGGAGGGCCGCCGCCGCCAGUGAGUACGAAAUAAGGAACAGAGGAGCUUCGGACUUGGAGAGACUGGACAAGUACGAGGAAGACGGAAGCAGGUGCGCGAUUUGCUGGGAGGAGAUUGGAGUGUAAAGCAUGUAUUCGAUGAGGAUUGCUUGCUGGCUUCAGGUCUCCCGCACCAGCCCAUUGUGCCGCUUCGAUGUCAAGCUUUGUACAUAGAAGAACCAAAUAAUCUUUGUAACUAUUUUCCAGACUAAAUAAUUAAUUAUUUUAGUCCCACUUUUUUGCUAUAUAUCUAAAUAAGUUUGUCAUAAUGCUAUAUAUCUCUUAU